CAGGUGGGAUUACCCGCUGAACUUAAGCAUAUCAAUAAGCGGAGGA
This 46-nucleotide ribosomal RNA is filed under the name Actinomucor sp. JHS0708. Its description in RNAcentral is "partial 28S ribosomal RNA". The record is from RNAcentral. Lineage: Eukaryota; Fungi; Mucoromycota; Mucoromycetes; Mucorales; Mucoraceae.